CCUUGCUAAUGCCUUCUUUGGAAUAGAUGAAGUGUCUGAGGGUCAAGACUCAUUUGUCUUCAUGGGAGAGGAUGGAUAAUAGAUGUUUACAAUCUUAUCUGGAGUAUGUCUCCAUCACAUCAUCUUAUGUCAUGAUAUGGUAAAAAACCUGCUGCCAACAUGAACUGGUAAAAAUGUUUAUAUAAUUAUCACAUCAGAUUUUCUUUCAGUGCUCACCAAGGAUACUCACGUGAUUUUGCCUCAUUUGCAAAGAAGAGAGUAGACCUUGAACUCCAACAAAGUGCAGGGUCAUGGCUUAUCAGUGAAAUUCUUGGGCUUUGUCUGGUCAGGAAAUGAUGAGGCUGACUAACUGGCAAAGAUAAAAUGACUAGAGCAAACCCCUGCAGGAGAAGUUGCCCCUUGGCUAAAUCAUAGAUUAAAGAAUGCAGGUUGGAAGAUUAUGUUAACAACAAGGUUGCUAAACAAUAGGUUUAAGCAACUGCUUAACAAUAAACCUAUAAACAACAGGUUUAUUCCUGGACUGAGUAAUGGAAGUUGCACAUCAUGCUAACCAGAAUAACUGUUGGAUCUGCUCAGAACUCUGAGUGCAGCACAAGAACUUCCCUGGAUAUCUUAACCUGGAAAUGAGAUGGAAUAGACUUGGCUGACACUGACUAGACUGCCUGCAAAAAUGGCCUUCAUAUGAUUACACUAAAGAGAAAAACGUUUGCUUUGAUUGGAGACAUUAAAUUUCUCUCAAGUACCUGGUUCUCGGCUGACACAACAUCUUUGUUUGUACGUGGUGCUGAGGAUCGAACCCGGGCAGCAUGCAUGCCAGGCGAGCGCGCUACCGCUUGAGCCACAUCCCCAGCCCCUAUCUUCAAUCUUUAGAAGAGGACCUGAACAGAAUGAUACUUAUUGUACGCUAAAGAAAUAUACUCAUAAAACAACUGAGAAAUUCACCUGUACAGUGGGCAUGCAACUUAUCCCAUAUA
Marmota monax (woodchuck) is the source of this 974-nucleotide long non-coding RNA. RefSeq lists it as uncharacterized. The transcript is spliced from 4 exons. The record is from RefSeq and is a predicted model, not a curated record. Lineage: Eukaryota; Metazoa; Chordata; Mammalia; Rodentia; Sciuridae.